Molecule: long non-coding RNA, 709 nt
Filed under: Homo sapiens (human)
Lineage: Eukaryota; Metazoa; Chordata; Mammalia; Primates; Hominidae
Description: long non-coding RNA NONHSAT176013.1
Source: RNAcentral
CUUGGCUUGGCGGUGGUCGCUUGGCUUGGCGUGGCAGUGAUCGCUUGGCUUGGCAUUUCUGGCUUGGCGGUCCUCCUUUCGCAGAUUGGAAACCGCGGGCUAUCCUGCUGGGAGGUUGUGGCCGAGGCAGUAGCUCGCUACUGAUGGCCUCCUGGGGUGGAGAAAAGCGGGGAGGGGCUGAGGGGUCUCCGAAGCUGGCAGUCUACGCCACGAGGAAGACCCGUAGCGUCAGGAGCCAGGAGGACCAGUGGUACUUGGGCUACCCGGGGGACCAGUGGUCUUCGGGCUUCUCCUACAGCUGGUGGAAAAAUAGCGUCGGCAGCGAGAGCAAGCACGGUGAGGGCGCCUUAGACCAGCCCCAGCACGACGUCCGCCUGGAAGAUCUUGGCGAGCUCCACAGAGCUGCCCGGUCGGGCGACGUCCCUGGGGUGGAGCACGUCUUGGCUCCUGGAGACACUGGCGUGGACAAGAGGGAUAGGAAGAAGAGCAUUCAGCAACUAGUUCCUGAAUAUAAGGAAAAACAGACACCUGAAAGUCUUCCUCAAAAUAACAAUCCAGAUUGGCAUCCUACUAAUUUGACCCUUAGUGAUGAGACUUGUCAGAGAUCCAAGAAUCUGAAAGUUGGUGAUAAAAGUCCAUCUGUAUCACCAUCAAUGCCUGAAAAUCAGUCAGCAACCAAAGAACUGGGACAGAUGAACUUAACAGAACG